Non-coding RNA from Equus caballus (horse), 75 nucleotides. The record is from Rfam. NCBI's taxonomy places the organism in Eukaryota, Metazoa, Chordata, Mammalia, Perissodactyla, Equidae.
GCGGGGGAGGACGGGAGGGGAGGAGGGCGUGGUUUUAUGCAGCUCCUCACUCCUCUCCUCCCGUCUUCUUCUUCU